This is a non-coding RNA of Acanthosepion pharaonis, 86 nucleotides long. NCBI's taxonomy places the organism in Eukaryota, Metazoa, Mollusca, Cephalopoda, Sepiida, Sepiidae. The record is from the annotation of a GenBank genome assembly.
UUCCCUUAUGAUCACCGAAGUUAAGCAAAGUGAAGCCUGGGCAGUAGCUAGAUGGGUGACCACUUGGGAAUACCAGGUGCUGUAAG